Long non-coding RNA from Felis catus (domestic cat), 588 nucleotides. RefSeq lists it as uncharacterized. The record is from RefSeq and is a predicted model, not a curated record. NCBI's taxonomy places the organism in Eukaryota, Metazoa, Chordata, Mammalia, Carnivora, Felidae. The transcript has 3 exons.
ACAUGGCGGCGGCGGUUUGCGCUAGAACUUGGUGAAGCUGGAAUUCUGUUUGCCAGAAGCUCCUCCCCUGGACGGUUUCAGGUCAGAGUAGGUCAAAAGAGGAAUGUGCAUGAGAUUUGCAAGGCAGAAAUGAAGCAGUGACGUUCGGAAGGAAAAACCACCAGAUGUGGGGGAGAUUACUGAACCGUGGCUCUGAACUGAUGCUAAUCCCUGGAGACUCAAAAUGCCACUGUGAUCUGUCAGAGUAGCGGCUUAUGGAAGUUAAAUGAUCUUCGAAAGUUACGGCUUGGCUCCCUCUCUCAACAAGCCCAGUGGUUCCCAGAACCAUCCGAUUGUUAUUUCCUCAGCUCCAGAAGGUAUAGGCUGCUGACUUGCUUUGACCGGAGGAGUGGUGUUCGUGCCCACGGGCCACAGGCGGCCCCGUUUCAGAAGAGGAGCUCUGUUCUACAUUUGCAGCACCAGAAGUCCCCUCCAGCGGCUUUCCUAGAAGGAAGAUGGAUUAACGUUUGCUUUGAAAUGACAGUUGUUUCACAAACUUUUGCUUUAAUUAUGAAUUUAUAUUUCUGAGCAUAUUUACUGAGCUAAGAC